Molecule: long non-coding RNA, 1192 nt
Filed under: Heterocephalus glaber (naked mole-rat)
Lineage: Eukaryota; Metazoa; Chordata; Mammalia; Rodentia; Bathyergidae
Description: lncRNA (ENSHGLG00100052487.1)
Source: RNAcentral
GGUGGAGCUUCCGUCCAGGUGCAGGGACCUGCUCAGAUUCUCUGCCCUAGUACCUUGGAAUAGAGAUGGGGGAGCUUCCUUCUGGGUACUGUGACCGGAUCAGCUUCUCAGCUCUAGGAGUUUGGGAAGGCAUCGGGGGAGCUUCCUUCCUGGAGCAUGGGCCUGCUCAGAUUCUCUGUCCUAGGAGCUUGGGAUGGCAGUGGGGUAGCUUCCUUCUGGGUGCAGGGACCUGCUCAGAUUCUCUGUCCUUUUAUCUUGAGAUGGCGGCGGGGUAGGUUCCUUUGCAGUGCUGGGACCGGCUCAUCUUCUCUGCCCUAGGAGCUUGGGAUGGUGUUGGGGAGCUUCCGUCCAGGUACAGGGAUUGGCUCAGCCUCUCUGCCCUAGGGGCUUGGGAUGACAUCGAGGGAGCUUCCUUCUGGGUACUGUGAUGGCCUCAGCUUCUAUGCCCUAGGAACUUGGAAUGGUGGUGGGCAAGCUUCCUUCUGGGUGCUGUGACCGGCUCAGCUUCUCUGCUCUAGGAGUUUGGGAUGGCAGCCUGGGAGCUUCCUUCUGGGAGCAUGGACCUGCUCAGAUUCUCUGCCCUAGGAGCUUGGGAUGGCAGUGGGGUAGCUUCCUUCUGGGUGCAGGGACCUGCUCAGAUUGUCUGCCCUUGGAUCUUGAGAUGGCGGCAGGGGAGGUUCCUUUGUGGUGCUGGGACCAGGUCAUCUUCUCUGCACUAGGAGCUUGGGAUGGUGUGGGGAGCUUCCAUCCAGGUGCAGGGAAUGGCUCAGCCUCUCUGCCCUAGGGGCUUGGGAUGGUGGUGAGGGAGCUUCCUUCUCGAUACUGUGAUGUCCUCAGCUUCUAUGCCCUAGGAACUUGGAAUGGUGGUGGGUGAGCUUCCUUUGUGGUGCUGGGACCGACUCAUCUUCUCUGCCCUAGGAACUUCGAAUGGUGGUGGGAGAGAUUCUUUCCUUGUGCUGAAACCGGCUCAGCUUCUCUGCCCAAAGAGCUAUGGAUAGCAGUGCAGUGCUUCCUUCUGUGUGCUGCUAUCUCCUCAGAUUCUCUGCCCUAGGAGCUGGGGAUGGCAGCAGGGGAGCUUCCUUCUGCAUGCUGGGACCAGCUCAGCUUCUCUGCCCUAGGAGCUUAGGAUGGUGGUGGGGGAGCUUCCUUCUGGGUACUGCGAUGGGCUGAACUUCUUUGCCUUAGGAGCUUG